This 333-nucleotide ribosomal RNA is filed under the name Pseudomonas fluorescens. RNAcentral describes it as "partial 16S ribosomal RNA". It matches the Rfam family "Bacterial small subunit ribosomal RNA", at positions 61 to 396 of the family's 1533-position model. The record is from RNAcentral. Lineage: Bacteria; Pseudomonadati; Pseudomonadota; Gammaproteobacteria; Pseudomonadales; Pseudomonadaceae.
GUCGAGCGGUAGAGAGAAGCUUGCUUNUCUUGAGAGCGGCGGACGGGUGAGUAAUGCCUAGGAAUCUGCCUGGUAGUGGGGGAUAACGUNCGGAAACGGACGCUAAUACCGCAUACGUCCUACGGGAGAAAGCAGGGGACCUUNNGGCCUUGCGCUAUCAGAUGAGCCUAGGUCGGAUUAGCUAGUUGGUGGGGUAAUGGCUCACCAAGGCGACGAUCCGUAACUGGUCUGAGAGGAUGAUCAGUCACACUGGAACUGAGACNCGGUCCAGANUCNUACGGGAGGCANCAGUGGGGAAUNUUGGACAAUGGGCGAAAGCCUGAUCCAGCCAUG